Long non-coding RNA from Phyllostomus discolor (pale spear-nosed bat), 1011 nucleotides. RefSeq lists it as uncharacterized. The record is from RefSeq and is a predicted model, not a curated record. The transcript has 2 exons. NCBI's taxonomy places the organism in Eukaryota, Metazoa, Chordata, Mammalia, Chiroptera, Phyllostomidae.
GAGAGAACUCUUAACAGCUCACUUCUUCCACUUCACCACCUUCUUGUAGGAGCUAUUAUCUACCAGACAUUUGGCACUUAGCCAAGAAUAACUGUCUUCCUAUCAAUAAUUUCAUUAUGGACAACUUCUGCUAUUUUUGCCCACCCCCCCCCCCAAAUCAUAGAGCAUCAGCUAUAAGUGUGAAACAACUGUGACCACAGCCUGUGGCAGUGUUUCCUUGGAACACUGGUUCAUUAGUGACUUAUGGGAUAAAGUUGUAGACACAAAGUUUAGUUUCUUCUGGAAAUUCAUACUGUAUAGUUAGCAUGCAUACCUUUAAAUGAACAUGGAAUUCCCACUUCAUCUUUUUUGUUUCUUCUUAAAAUAUUUCAUAGAAUCCUUUGAAAAAUACCAGCCUUCCCCUUUUGAGAUUCUAAACUGAUCUGCCAGCAUGCCAUGGCUUUUGUUAACUUCCAGCCAGGUCUUGCCCACCAUACUCCUGAAGGUGGUGUGCUAAUCCCUGAUUCCAAGCUUUACUCAUACCCUAUACUUCUCUUCUGAGCUGUCAAUUUAAGUUCUUUGCCCUUUUAAGAUUUUUCCCAACACUUUUCAUACACUAUUAUUUGCAAGUGCCUCAUUUUAGCAUUUAGUUACAUAUUAUGCCAUUUAGUCAGUAAACUUACACCUCCUUCAGAUGCACUGCUUUGUAUAGCACUUACAUGUAGUCAGGGUUUAAUAAAUGAACAGUCAUUGCCAAGGCUAUUAGAGCUUGGGAGAUAAGAACUCCCAAUUAUGAUUCAAGAAUACACAGGAACACUGUGCUCAAAGAAUUGCAUGGAUGAAAAUUGGAAGUGUCAUUUGUUAACAAAUGGAUGUGGCUCUUAGGUGUAUUUGCAUAAGUAUAUUUAAAACUAGGUAAUUGGUCAUAUAUCAGAAGUUUGCACUAAAUGACCAAAGGAAACUUUGUAUUUUAUGGUUAACAAUGUUUCUUAAUGUUAGCAAAUACAAUGAACAGCCCUAAUUUUCUAACUU